RNAcentral lists this ribosomal RNA (467 nucleotides) under uncultured bacterium. RNAcentral describes it as "partial 16S ribosomal RNA". It matches the Rfam family "Bacterial small subunit ribosomal RNA", at positions 28 to 507 of the family's 1533-position model. The record is from RNAcentral.
GACGAACGCUGGCGGCGUGCUUAACACAUGCAAGUCGAACGGAAAGGCUCCAGCUUGCUGGAGUACUCGAGUGGCGAACGGGUGAGUAACACGUGGGUAAUCUGCCCUGCACUCUGGGAUAAGCCUGGGAAACUGGGUCUAAUACUGGAUAUGACCUUUCUCCUUAUGGGGUUUGGUGGAAAGUUUUUCGGUGUAGGAUGAGCCCGCGGCCUAUCAGCUUGUUGGUGGGGUGAUGGCCUACCAAGGCGACGACGGGUAGCCGGCCUGAGAGGGUGAUCGGCCACAUUGGGACUGAGAUCCGGCCCAGCCUCCUACGGGAGGCAGCAGUGGGGAAUAUUGCACAAUGGGCGGAAGCCUGAUGCAGCGACGCCGCGUGAGGGAUGACGGCCUUCGGGUUGUAAACCUCUUUCAGCAGGGACGAAGCGUAAGUGACGGUACCUGCAGAAGAAGCCCCGGCUAACUAUGUG